Molecule: ribosomal RNA, 497 nt
Filed under: uncultured bacterium
Lineage: Bacteria
Description: partial 16S ribosomal RNA
Rfam family: Bacterial small subunit ribosomal RNA
Source: RNAcentral
GAUGAACGCUGGCGGCGUGCCUAAUACAUGCCAGUCGAGCGAACAGACGAGGAGCUUGCUCCUCUGACGUUAGCGGCGGACGGGUGAGUAACACGUGGAUAACCUACCUAUAAGACUGGGAUAAUUUCGGGAAACCGCAGCUAAUACUAGCUAAUAUAUUGAACCGCAUGGAUCAAUCGUCAUAGACGCUUUUGCUGACACUUUUAGCUGGAUCCGCGCCGCAUUAGCUAGUUGGUAAGGUAACGGCUUAACAAGGCAACGAUGCGUAGCUGCCCUGAGAGGGUGAUCGGCCACACUGGAACUGAGACACGGUCCAGACUCCUACGGGAGGCAGCAGUAGGGAAUCUUGCGCAAUGGGCGAAAGCGUGACGGAGCAACGCCGCGUGAGUGAUGAAGGUCUUCGGAUCGUAAAACUCUGUUGUUAGGAAAGAAAAAAAGUGUAAGUAACUAUGCACGUCUUGACGGUACCUAAAGAGAAAGCCACGGCUAACUACGUG